CAAGUGGCUCAUUGAUCAUAUACCACCACCCUGACCAGAACACACGCACUGGUAAUAAAAGAAUUUGUCCAGUUCUGAUGCCUUGGGAGAUAAUGUCCAACCUUGAGGAAGACGUUUACACCGUAGAGGAUCUAACCUUGCCUUGUUAGUGGCUUGUAUCAUUCUGAGAUGACAUGCAAGCAUCUUCAGUUUAUACUGUCGGAAAUACAGACCACCUUCUUGGAGAACAAUGAUGCUUGUCCGUCUCCACCUAAUAACUUCGGAAUGAAUAAAGGGAUUUUCAUUAUUCCCGAAAUGAAGCUCAUUUAACUGCAAGACAUAACCCUGCCGCCAGCAAUACAAGAAUGUUUAGUAUUGAACACGAACUUCUGAGAGUACAUAAUGGAGAUGCAGUUGUGAAUGUAACCCCUUUUCUCAUAAAAUUUCAAAAUUCUCACACUAACUUGGCUUCUGAGUAUAGAUUUUGUAAAGCUUUGUGACAAUGGUUGAUUUAUUAUAGGAAUAUUAUUUUGUACAGUGUCCAUUUUCUGAGGGAUAUUUGAUAUACACGACGUUUCGGUAGCUGGUUAGCCUGCAAGCGUGGCAUUCGAAAUGUACCGGAUCUGAUCCGAACAGUUCUCAUUUAUAAUAACACAUGAAAAGUGUGUCAUUUCAGCCAAUCACCUGAAUAUGCGAGUAGAGUCAAAGACUCAGACAGUGGACAAUGCUCAACAUAAUUUUCCAAUCUUUGCUUAGUGUAAAGUCGGUCCAGACAAAGGAUUUUGUUCAUAUGGCGGUGAACAUUAUGGUUUCGUAAUAUCAGAAACUGAACCAUAAAUGAUUUUUGUCGGAGACUUGCCGAUAAACCAGUACAACUGAGAAUAAGCCUUGAUCCUGAGUCAUCUCUAUUUGGAUAUAAGAGUGUUAUAAUUAAUUCUUGCAUUGUGUAAUGACGUUUUGUCGACUGUAUAGACUUUGUAGCGCCGACUGUUAAAACGAUCGUCAGUUAUAAAUUGUAGUAAGUAUGGAAGGAAGCAGAAGUGGUCGUGUUAUUUCAAAGUACUUGGUUCGAAUUCAGCCGGAAUUGUUUAUAUUGACAAGUUUAUAGUUUCUGGUUUUUUCUUAGAGCCUCGAAAGGGUAGACCUUCUUCUUCUUUGGUCUCUCUAGAAACAACGUAUUUGGUUUAAGGCGUCGGGAAAUGCACAGUGUGCAUUGCUGUUAAAAGACACUACGCGGUAUUCAUCAAUCCACUUCAAUACAUAUUAGUUAUAACACUGAUCAUGCAUGCAGUGCUAUUAACAAGGACCACAAUGUUUUAUUACGCUGUUAAUUAUCGAGGGGAGUGUCAUUCUGACUGAAUCCGAGAGAGCCUUCGGAAACAAGACUUGUUUGCACUGUGUGUUUCUUCACUUUAGAUCUUGCCGCUAAAUUUGAAUGUUCCUUCUGAUUUUUUUGAAUGAGUGUGAUACGACCCAGUACAUGUCUGCUGCUAUGCAAGCCAUAUAGACGAACGUCAGUUUUGCAGAUUUAUGCCAAAAGUGCAGAUUGAUUCCAAUCCCAAAAUUAUUUUUUACGUCAUCAAAAAAUAUUCUCAAAAUAAAUUGUACAACGCAUUCUUAAUUACACAAAAUAUGUAGUGAAUAAAUGAGCUAACGAUA
Molecule: long non-coding RNA, 1638 nt
Organism: Zootermopsis nevadensis
Lineage: Eukaryota; Metazoa; Arthropoda; Insecta; Blattodea; Termopsidae
Source: RefSeq, a predicted model, not a curated record